GAUUAGUGGCGAACGGGUGAGUAACACGUGAGCAACCUGCCCCUGACUCUGGGAUAAGCGCUGGAAACGGCGUCUAAUACUGGAUACGAACCAUGAAGGCAUCUUCAGUGGUUGGAAAGAUUUAUUGGUUGGGGAUGGGCUCGCGGCCUAUCAGCUUGUUGGUGAGGUAAUGGCUCACCAAGGCGUCGACGGGUAGCCGGCCUGAGAGGGUGACCGGCCACACUGGGACUGAGACACGGCCCAGACUCCUACGGGAGGCAGCAGUGGGGAAUAUUGCACAAUGGGCGCAAGCCUGAUGCAGCAACGCCGCGUGAGGGAUGACGGCCUUCGGGUUGUAAACCUCUUUUAGCAGGGAAGAAGCGAAAGUGACGGUACCUGCAGAAAAAGCACCGGCUAACUACGUGCCAGCAGCCGCGGUAAUACGUAGGGUGCAAGCGUUAUCCGGAAUUAUUGGGCGUAAAGAGCUCGUAGGCGGUUUGUCGCGUCUGCUGUGAAAUCUGGGGGCUCAACCCCCAGCCUGCAGUGGGUACGGGCAGACUAGAGUGCGGUAGGGGAGAUUGGAAUUCCUGGUGUAGCGGUGGAAUGCGCAGAUAUCAGGAGGAACACCGAUGGCGAAGGCAGAUCUCUGGGCCGUAACUGACGCUGAGGAGCGAAAGGGUGGGGAGCAAACAGGCUUAGAUACCCUGGUAGUCCACCCCGUAAACGUUGGGAACUAGUUGUG
This 721-nucleotide ribosomal RNA is filed under the name Microbacterium sp. Its description in RNAcentral is "bacterial SSU rRNA". It matches the Rfam family "Bacterial small subunit ribosomal RNA", at positions 90 to 824 of the family's 1533-position model. The record is from RNAcentral. Lineage: Bacteria; Bacillati; Actinomycetota; Actinomycetes; Micrococcales; Microbacteriaceae.